GGAGAGAUGGCAGAGCGGUCGAAUGCGGCAGUCUUGAAAACUGUUGAUCCUUACGGGAUCCGGGGGUUCGAAUCCCUCUCUCUCCGCCA
RNAcentral lists this transfer RNA (89 nucleotides) under Pseudomonadota bacterium. RNAcentral describes it as "tRNA-Ser". It matches the Rfam family "tRNA". Rfam says of the family: Transfer RNA (tRNA) molecules are approximately 80 nucleotides in length. Lineage: Bacteria; Pseudomonadati; Pseudomonadota. The record is from RNAcentral. RNAcentral also lists the same sequence under 1 other name.